CCGCCUACGGGACGCAGCAGUGAGGAAUAUUGGUCAAUGGGCGGGAGCCUGAACCAGCCAAGUCGCGUGAGGGAAGACGGUCCUAUGGAUUGUAAACCUCUUUUGUCGGGGAGCAAAGAGGCCACGUGUGGUCAAAAGCGAGAGUACCCGAAGAAAAAGCAUCGGCUAAAUCCGUGCCAGCAGCCGCGGUAAUACGGAGGAUGCGAGCGUUGUCCGGAUUUAUUGGGUUUAAAGGGUGCGUAGGCGGGGCGGUAAGUCAGCGGUAAAAAUGCGGCGC
RNAcentral lists this ribosomal RNA (277 nucleotides) under uncultured bacterium. RNAcentral describes it as "partial 16S ribosomal RNA". It matches the Rfam family "Bacterial small subunit ribosomal RNA", at positions 335 to 608 of the family's 1533-position model. The record is from RNAcentral.